RNAcentral lists this long non-coding RNA (1500 nucleotides) under Papio anubis (olive baboon). RNAcentral describes it as "lncRNA (ENSPANG00000042034.1)". Lineage: Eukaryota; Metazoa; Chordata; Mammalia; Primates; Cercopithecidae. The record is from RNAcentral.
CUGGCUUUUUAGCCCAAAGACAACAACAUUCCUUCUCUAAAGUUGCAGGGGAAGGCUGGUCUGGACAUGAAUGUGGCUGAAGCUCAAAACUCCUUCCCCCGGUAGCCUGGUGUGUGGUUAUAUUCUAAGGAAAAUGGCUUCCUGUGUGACUCAUUUGAGAGCACUGUGCCACUAGCAAGCUAUAAUGCUGACAAGUUCCUCGUGAUGGCUAGGAGGAUAGUAGUUGUAUGGAGGAGAAAUUUCCCAGCACCUGAUUUUUAUGGCAUAUGAUCAUGGCAAAACCCGCACCUGCUGCAGCGUGUUUUCCGGCAUGGUUGCUAGCUGAUUGUAACAUUUGUGGGAAGAAGCUUCCUCUUCCUGCACCCUAAGAAAACAUUGUCAUGCUUGUGACAGCAGUGUGUACUUUGGUCUCUGCAACAGGUUUCUGGACCACCUGUUAUCCACUGUGACAUCAUAGGGCAACAUCCCAGCAACAGUGAGUGAAACAGAACAGAUUUUCCAUUUCCUCUCUGGGAACGGUGCCCUUUGAAAAGAAUAGGAAGACAUUCUCAAGGUAGCAAGCGGAGGACUAAGAGUCAUUUACAUUGCCUGUCCUAGGAGAAAUGGCUUAUUUUGGACCCCAAGCUUGUGAAACAGGGCAUUUUGGAUAGAUCCAUGUGUGAGACAGAUUCUAAUUCUAGUUAGGCUCACUGUGGGCAAUUGCAUAGGUAAGAUCAGUCAUAGGUUCUCUUCAAAGGAUGAGUGAAAUGACCAGAACCAUAGGGAUUAUUUUUUGAAUCCUUGAGGUUCUCAGGCUUAGUCUGGCACUUCAAGGAUCCCCUAUAUGCUAUUAAUAAUGUUUCCAUUUUCUUUUCAGGGAUCCUUGUAGUACCAGACUGGGGCUGAGAGCCUCAAGGUUUGUAAAUAAGCCCUGUGGUUCUGGCCAUUUUACUUGUCCUUUAGAGAGAACCACUAAUGCCCUUCCAACCUCAUAAUGAUUGCGGCGAGGAAUAUCAACAAGGAAAUCUCCGUUCAACAGAAGAGAGCUUUGAGGAAAGAGAAGCUAAGAAAGGGAGUAAAUAUGCCUCAAGACUAAUUUAGAUGGAAAUCAGAUGGAAAGCCUGAUGCUGCAGUUUGUUGAAUUAUAAGGUUCUUUCAGAAGAAGUUUUCUUGAUCAUAGCAGAGACAGUGUGGAUUUGGGAGCUGUUCAGAUUCAAUCCUGCUCCUCUUGACCUUCCAGCAAUUUUGUAAGUACUUAGUUUUCUACAUUGGAUCCUGUUAUCCUUUGACUAGCUAGGGUGGAUUUUAUUUUCUGCAAUUGAACUUUGUCCAAUAUCUCUUCCCUCCAACUAGAGAUAUUAGUGAGAUUUUUUUUUUUUCUGAUAAAUUUCCACUUCCAAUCAUGUCAUGCUAUUCUUUUGAGAAGGUAAAUGAUGUAGAUUGUUGGCAACUUGUUUUAAUUUAGUGCAAAUGUAGACAAUGUUUCUCAAAUGUUGUCCUCUAAGGUCAGGAUUCUGUCUU